This 2311-nucleotide long non-coding RNA is filed under the name Brassica napus (rape). RNAcentral describes it as "long non-coding RNA (BNAP_LNC008916)". Lineage: Eukaryota; Viridiplantae; Streptophyta; Magnoliopsida; Brassicales; Brassicaceae. The record is from RNAcentral.
UGGAAGUUGAAUUCCGGAGAGUUUCUGCAGGUAAGUAGAGUUGGCGACGUCUUUCCAAUUAGGAGCCAAAACGCCAAAAGUCUCAACCAUAUGUUUUUGACCGGUUCUCAAAUAAUAAUCUCCGGUUAAUGCCCAAACCGCCCAAUCUAAAUCAUUCUCCGCGGCCCAAGCCACCAAACAAUUCAUAUACCGGUUUCCGCUAACGUCACCGCUUCUCAGGUUAGCCCCAAACUCAGUCAAGAACAAAGGAAAACCUCUCCCGAUCAAGAAUCCUCCGUUAUGUGUUACUUUCUCGAUGAUUUUUGCGCAUAAAUCGUUAGAGUUGUGCUUUACCCACGAGUCUCGACCAUCGGAGAAGCUGUACCAAUGUUGCUCGAAGACGAGUUUGUCGGUGAAGCUGACGUUGAAGAAGCGGUCACGGAGGAAAGAGAGGUUUGUGUCGUAGUCGAUGCCGGAGAGGAUGACUAGUACUUCAGGGUUUGCUGCGUGUACUGCUUCUCCUCCUUUUGGCAUGUACCUUCACGUAACCGUUUACAGUUUUAAUACGCAUGCAUGCAUUCAUGUACUUGUUAUCCUUAUAUAUGUGAAUAAUGAAAAUACUACAAAAGGUCCAACACACAUAUACCUAAAUCUGUAUGCGAACAUAUGUUAUUUUUGAUAAAUAGUUUUAAAUAGUCAUUUCAAAUAUUUUCAUGUGUUACAUGCUUGGUUAUAUUCUAAAUGAAAUAUUAGUAAUUUGAAAUGCGUACGUACUUGAACCAGAGGUUAGGGUAAUCUCUGGUACCACGUGGUUCGUUCCUAAGGCUCAUGCCAACGACAUUAGUGACAUUGCGGAAAAGAGAAGCCAUCUUGCUCAAUCCCUUGGUCCAGAUGACAGGAUCAAAGUUAGGGUAUUCGAAGAAGGCGUCGAGGUCGUUGUCGCUGCAACACCAUCCUGGCGUUGUCAAGUGGUUGUCUAGUAUCACCAUUACUCCGUUUUGUCCAAGGUUCGAUACCACUUCCUGAUACCAAUAUAAAAGUAAAAUAAACUAUUUAUAUAUAUAGAAAGAGAGUUCCAUUACGUUGGGAUCUAUACUAUACUAAAAUGGAUUGAGGGAGUCUUUUUAAGCUAUCCACCUCAGCCAAUUAAAUCAACUAAUCAUAUGUUAUCAAACUGCCAUGUCAUUUUGUAAAAUCCACAUCAUAUUUCUUUGAAAAAAAUGAAACUUCACGGACGGUUUGCUGCUACUUCUUCCGAUUUUCUAUUAGUAUUAGCUGCCUACACAAACCAGAAAGCCAAGAGUUUCUACCUCUUCAUAUACUUUGCAAUUAAAUUCUCAUCUUCAAUAAACAGGUUGAGUUCCAAAUUAAUAUUAAAGACCUCUAAAUGACUCCUACAGCUUCAUCUUUAAUGUAAACAGGUUUUAGAUUUUAAAGACUUCUAAUUCAUGUAAUAUUACAAAAUUCAAAAUUGGUUUAUUACAAUUAAUAUUUUACCAUUAGAUAUAUUAAUACAAUAUUCUAGAUCGAUAUUCAAUUGUCAGUUUUCAACUAUUACACGUAAAAAAUAUUAUUAAGUACGUUUUUUUUUGAAAAGGGGGUUUUAUAUUUUAAGUAGGUUAUUGGGGUACUUUUUCUUUCUUGAAUUUAUUCGAGAUGAGAUUCCGAUCUUUUAAACUAAGAUAAUUUAUGUUCUAUACAUAAUUAUAUUUUUUUUACAUAACUCUAAAAUCUCGGAUUUGAUUCUUCAUAUUUUAUUAGUUAAUUGUGUUACAUAUAAUAGAAAUACUUACUUCAAACUAAAAAUAUAUUAUAACUUUUAAUUUAUCAUUAUUUAUUAUUAGGAUCCAAAUAUCUGUCUAUAUAGGAUUCAAUUAAUUUUUAACGAUGUUAAGUUAUAAUUAUAGUUUUUUUGGUAAUAUUCAAAUAAUAAUUAUAGUUUUCAUUCCAAAAUCGUAUUAUUAUUCCACUUUCUUUCAAAAAGAAGUCUGACCUCUAACUGGAAGUUGAAUUCCGGAGAGUUUUUGCAGGUAAGUAGAGUUGGCGACGUCUUUCCAAUUAGGAGCCAAAACGCCAAAAGUCUCAACCAUAUGUUUUUGACCGGUUCUCAAAUAAUAAUCUCCGGUUAAUGCCCAAACCGCCCAAUCUAAAUCAUUCUCCGCGGCCCAAGCCACCAAACAAUUCAUAUACCGGUUUCCGCUAACGUCACCGCUUCUCAGGUUAGCCCCAAACUCAGUCAAGAACAAAGGAAAACCUCUCCCGAUCAAGAAUCCUCCGUUAUGUGUUACUUUCUCGAUGAUUUUUGCGCAUAAAUCGUUAGAGUUGUGCUUUA